This 240-nucleotide unclassified non-coding RNA is filed under the name soil metagenome. RNAcentral describes it as "partial contains 5.8S ribosomal RNA, internal transcribed spacer 2, and large subunit ribosomal RNA". The record is from RNAcentral.
AACUGAUACUACCUGCGGGAACCUGCGGAGGGAUCAUUGCUGGAACGCGCCCCAGGCGCACCCAGAAACCCUUUGUGAACUUAUACCUUACUGUUGCCUCGGCGCAUGCCGGCCCCCAGGGGCCCCUCGGAGACGAGGAGCAGGCACGCCGGCGGCCAACCUAACUCUUGUUUUUACACUGAAACUCUGAGAAAAAAAACAAAAUGAAUCAAAACUUUUAACAAUGGAUCUCUAGAUCGG